UACAGAGGUCCCGAGCGUUGUUCGGAUUCAUUGGGCGUAAAGGGUGCGUAGGCGGCGAGGUAAGUCUGAUGUGAAAUCCCGGGGGCUCAACCCCCGGAACUGCAUUGGAUACUGCCUUGCUUGAGUACUGGAGAGGGAACUGGAACUUCCGGUGGAGCGGUGAAAUGCGUUGAGAUCGGAAGGAACGCCCGUGGCCGAAAAGCGAGGUCCUGGACCGCCAUCGUGACGCUGAGACGCGAAAGCCAGGGGAGCGAACGGGG
Molecule: ribosomal RNA, 260 nt
Filed under: uncultured bacterium
Lineage: Bacteria
Description: partial 16S ribosomal RNA
Rfam family: Bacterial small subunit ribosomal RNA
Source: RNAcentral